This 484-nucleotide ribosomal RNA is filed under the name uncultured bacterium. Its description in RNAcentral is "partial 16S ribosomal RNA". It matches the Rfam family "Bacterial small subunit ribosomal RNA", at positions 30 to 507 of the family's 1533-position model. The record is from RNAcentral.
AUUGAACGCUGGCGGCAGGCCUAACACAUGCAAGUCGAGCGGAUGAAGGGGGCUUGCUCCUGGAUGCAGCGGCGGACGGGGGAGUAAUGCCUAGGAAUCUGCCUGGUAGGGGGGGAUAACGUCCGGAAACGGGCGCUAAUACCGCAUACGUGCUGAGGGAGAAGGUGGGGGUGCUUCGGACCGCACGCUAUCAGAUGAGCCUAGGUUGGAUUAGCUAGUUGGUUGGGUAACUGCUUGCCAAGGCGACGAUCCGUAACUGGUCUGAGAGGAUGAUGAACCACCAUGGAACUGAGACACGGUGCAGCCUCCUAAGGGAGGCAGCAGUGGCGAAUAUUAGACAAUGGGAGAAAGGCUGAUUGAGCGAUGCCGCGUGUGUGCAGCAGGUCUUCGGAUUGUACAGCACUCGAAGUGGGGAGCAAGGGCAGUAAGUUAAUACCUUGCUGGCUUGACGUUACCUACAGAAUAAGCACCGGCUAACUUCGUG